This 472-nucleotide ribosomal RNA is filed under the name uncultured bacterium. RNAcentral describes it as "SSU rRNA". It matches the Rfam family "Bacterial small subunit ribosomal RNA", at positions 26 to 518 of the family's 1533-position model. The record is from RNAcentral.
AGGACGAACGCUGGCGGCGUGCUUAACACAUGCAAGUCGAGCGGAAAGGCCCUUCGGGGUACUCGAGCGGCGAACGGGUGAGUAACACGUGAGCAACCUGCCCUUAGCUCCGGGAUAGCUCCGGGAAACCGGAAUUAAUACCGGAUAUGACCUAGGCCGACAUCGGCUGUGGUGGAAAGUUUUUCGGCUGGGGAUGGACUCGCGGCCUAUCAGCUUGUUGGUGGGGUAAUGGCCUACCAAGGCGACGACGGGUAGCCGGCCUGAGAGGGCGACCGGCCACACUGGGACUGAGACACGGCCCAGACUCCUACGGGAGGCAGCAGUGGGGAAUCUUGCGCAAUGGGCGAAAGCCUGACGCAGCGACGCCGCGUGGGGGAUGAAGGCCUUCGGGUUGUAAACCCCUUUCAGCAGGGACGAAGCGAAGUGACGGUACCUGCAGAGAAGCGCCGGCUAACUACGCGCCAGCAGCCGC